GGCCCCAGAGGUGGGUCAUUUUUGGAGCCUGGAAUAUAGAGAAGAUUAGCAUGGUCCUGCACAAGGAUGACACAGAAAUUUGUGAGGCAUUCCAUAUUUUU
This 101-nucleotide small nuclear RNA is filed under the name Salvator merianae (Argentine black and white tegu). Lineage: Eukaryota; Metazoa; Chordata; Lepidosauria; Squamata; Teiidae. The record is from RNAcentral.